RNAcentral lists this ribosomal RNA (274 nucleotides) under uncultured bacterium. RNAcentral describes it as "partial 16S ribosomal RNA". It matches the Rfam family "Bacterial small subunit ribosomal RNA", at positions 523 to 796 of the family's 1533-position model. The record is from RNAcentral.
CUACGGAGGGGGUUAGCGUUGUUCGGAAUUACUGGGCGUAAAGCGCACGUAGGCGGAUUAAAAAGUUAGAGGUGAAAUCCCAGGGCUCAACCCUGGAACUGCCUUUAAAACUAGUAGUCUAGAGUUCGAGAGAGGUGAGUGGAAUUCCAAGUGUAGAGGUGAAAUUCGUAGAUAUUUGGAGGAACACCAGUGGCGAAGGCGGCUCACUGGCUCGAUACUGACGCUGAGGUGCGAAAGCGUGGGGAGCAAACAGGAUUAGAAACCCCAGUAGUCC